RNAcentral lists this long non-coding RNA (753 nucleotides) under Androctonus crassicauda. The record is from RNAcentral. Lineage: Eukaryota; Metazoa; Arthropoda; Arachnida; Scorpiones; Buthidae.
UGUGGAUAUGUGAAUUUUUUCCAAAUCGGAUAGCCUAUGUGAAUUUUAUCUAAAUAGAAUAAAAUUCACACAUACUUUCGAGAGUCAUUGGAGAACUAAUCCCAAUGAAAACGGUCAAUAUUGGGUCAAUAUUACUAACGUAACAAUGGAAAAGAUUUUCGCAUAUUUUGGAACAAAUCCUGCGCGGCUAUGGCCGGUUUAUUUCAAAUAUCUAUAUUAAUAAAGAUUCAUCUACAGAAUCAUCAUCGUCGUCAGCCGUUUCGAUCCAGAGCAGAAUGAAGGUCUCUCAGUAAACCGGCCAACCUUUUCUGUUGACGGAUCUCCUUGUCCAGGAAAUCCAUAUAAACUUCUGAAUUUUAUGUGUGUAUUGGAUAUAUUGUCGUCGUCUUAUUUUUUGGAAUCUAUCCUAAAACUUUUAGUAUCCAUCUGUUGUUGUUUUUUCGCAUCAGAUGUCCAGCCCAAUUCCAUCUUAGUCUCUUUAUUUUUCGAAGACGUCUGCUACUUUUGUCUGUUUCGUUAUCCAUAUAUCUUGUUUAGUGUUAACCAGUAUGCAUCUCUCUAUGCUUCUUUGUAUUGUUUUCAGUUUCCGAAUUAUUAUUUUGGAGAUCAGAGAUCGCGAACUUUUGUGGCUAGGGUUCGUUUUGUUCUAAAAUAGAAUCGCAUACACGAGCACCAGGUAGAUCGAAGAAAAUUCAAAGAGGAAAACAAAAAAAAAAAACACUAAAACGAUCCUUCUAGAAAGCGUUUCCAAAG